GCAAUUGACUUACGGUGCCAUCCAGCGGUAUGUCCCCGUCUCUGGAGUCAUUCCCUCGGUUUUUACCUCAAUUCGAGCAACUCCAAAGUCAGCAAUCUUGAUUGAUUUGUCUGCUGAAAUUAGAAGGUUGUCUGAUUUCAGAUCCCUGUGAAUAGACCCCAGGGCAUGCACAUAUGCCAUCCCCCGGGCAACAUCAAGUGCCUGUUUCACUGCCAAUCUCAGGGGCACAGACUUGGUCUGCCGGCGGGCAAGGAACUGCCUGACAGAGCCACCUUUUGCGUACUCGGUAAUGAUA
Lolium perenne is the source of this 295-nucleotide non-coding RNA. Lineage: Eukaryota; Viridiplantae; Streptophyta; Magnoliopsida; Poales; Poaceae. The record is from RefSeq and is a predicted model, not a curated record.